Molecule: unclassified non-coding RNA, 2969 nt
Filed under: Hevea brasiliensis (rubber tree)
Lineage: Eukaryota; Viridiplantae; Streptophyta; Magnoliopsida; Malpighiales; Euphorbiaceae
Source: RNAcentral
AAAAACUCAUUCAAGACUCGAGAAUUAUACAAGAAAAAUAUGACAUCUGUUAAGGAUCUGCAAACUAAUAUCCCUUUCCUCAUUACUCUGAUCCGCACAAGAAACUUGAGCAAUAACAUCCAGAUAGUCAAAAUAGUUCUAAGUGAUGGAUUAGCCAUUUCACAAUGAAGGCCAGUCUUUACAUUAAAGAUUUAAUACAUAUUAUAGAAAUUCAUGCAUAUCUGGGGUUCAAUUUUACAAAAAAAUUUGAACUCCCAUGUGCAUCGGACAAUUUUGCUUAGACCUUGCUCUGCAGAAAAUAAAACUAGUUAAAAUUUGCAUAUCUUUCUAAUCAAAGUUAACUUCAGUCUAGGAGCCUACUUGAAUCUCACUUAAAGCAGCUUCAUCCAUCUGAUCUUGUCUAAGAGUGAAAGGGAAUGGAGGCCUAUCUACAGAAAGUGUACCUUCUAAUACCUUAACCACUUCAACAAUAGUAGGUCGCAGAAAUGGUUGAUUUUGCAUGCACCACAAGGCAAUCCCAAUUACUCUUGAUAUUCCUUCAGAAUCCGUGCAAUCCUCCAAGUUCAUUUUUUCAUUCAUACUGUCAGUUAAAUGUUGCAGACUGUUACUCAAAAUAUCUCUUCUAUGUGUCACAAUUUGCAACAGCAUCUCCCCAAACAUGUAGAUAUCUCUCUCUGCCGGCGACUCCGAGGAGGAAGCUGCCUCCUUUUGGAUUAAGCUUCCAAGUCCAAAAUCAGUGAGCUUAGGGGCCAACUUCUCAUCAAGCAAGACAUUUUCGAGCUUAAAGUUCCCAUGAGCUACGCAUACCUGACACUCUGAAUGCAAAUAAGCAAGGGCUCUUGCAACUCCAACAGCAAUGUCAAACCUCUGUUGCCAAUUCCCAUCAUUCUGGCCUUGCUCCAUGUUGAAGAGCCAAUUAUCUAGAGAGCCACUGUGAACAUAGUCGUAUAAUAAAAACCUAUGAUUCGCCUCAAAACAGAAACCCUUUAAUGACACAAGAUUCCGGUGGUGCAUUCCCCCUAAGUUAGAGACUGCCACUCGGAAAUCCUUCUCAUUUGCAGUUGCAUCAUUCAGCUUCUUAGCAAUAACUGGCCUUUUGUUGGGAAGUACACCCUUAAAAACAGUGGGGCCAAGUUGAUCUGCAAAAUUGCCAGUUAGCUCUUUUAUCUCUUCAAAGGAUAACCCGACAAGUACACUGUAAUGAGCAUUCAUUUGAGCAUCCUUGCUAAAGGGAAUUCUUGCCUGAGCCUUAAUUUUCCGUCUACGGUACACAAACCAAAACACAAAUGUCUCAAAGGUCAGCAAACCUGAGACUGUAACCAAAACUAUCAAGGCAACAGCGCCCACAAACUUCUUGUUGUCACCUUCACGGUCAAUGAAUCCUUUAGACAAUGUAGGAAUUGGCUUGGGGUUAAAAUGAGGAUCAGAUUGUUGAGCUGAAACAGCCUGAGGGACCAAACACACUUUUAAGAAUGAAGUAGCAGGAACAGAAGGGUUCCUAUACCCACUAAUAAAGCUAGUUCGUUUGAUUGUAGAUAUACCUGAACCAUCAUUUUUUGAAGUUGCUGCAAUGCAGGUAGGGUCAUUAGAGCAGUAUUCUUUGCACUUUUUCUCAUUUAGCAUCAUAUGAACAUCUUGAGGUGGAUAAAGCCCAUAUAAAACUGACUGCUUCAUAUCCACCAUGCUUGUAUUCAUCUUGCAGUUGCUCAAAUCCACCAUCUUCUUGCAUCCAAAACCACCUGAAUCCAUUGUGACAAAGGAAGCUCCCCAGUUCGAUGAAUCCUGGUAAAGACAAUCACAGACAGGUCCUGUUGAAUUAAACCCGCAUAAUCCAUACAAACCACAAGAACCAAACACAUCACAUUGGUUCCCAACUGCUUGCCACGCUAUUUUCCAUUCAUGAAGCACAUUGUCCCAUGAAUAUAUUCUCAAGUUCCCGUCAGAAUCCAUCCUAAGAUGCCUCAAAGUGACAGAAGGGUCUUUGAAAUCAUUGCUUGAUGUCGACCAAACAGUUCUAUUAGUACCAUCUAUUAGCCUCAAAAACCCAUCAGCAUCAAAUCUUGCUUCCUUAAUAGUAAUACUACUAGAAAAGCUCAAAUGACUCCUCCAAUAUGUCACAUUGUUCUCCCACACAAGGGCAAGCUCUCCAGAGCGCCGAAUCACAAAGUUAUAGUAACUAGAAAUUGACUUCGUUGAAGGAGCUCUUAGUGUUUGAGGAAAAAGCAGAGACUGGCCAGGAAGGAGAGUGCUCGUUGGGCUAUGAAAACUUUCCCACAGCACUCUAUCUCCAUUGCCCACAAGAACUAAGUUCCCAUUAUUUAAAAGAGUAGCCUUUUUAACACCUAAACUAGAAGUGCUACUGCUCCAAACAAUUAAACCACUAGGGUUUUCAAACAAAAUCAGCCUUCCAUCCAUAGAAAGUUUGAUUGUGGAGUUCAUAGACACUCUAAGACCACCACCAACAGCCCAUACAGGUAUAUUUACAGUUUUAUCCCCUAAAUUAUACCUGACACCCACAAGAAAUCCAUCAUCAUCUUUCUGACAACACUCCAAGAAUCCAAAUGCGAAGACCCCAUUUUGAGACACCCAAGUCCUAGUUCUAUCAAACCCAGAAAUCUCAAAACCAAGAGGCGCUGAUACCAUAGCCGGCUCAUCACAAAAGCCACAAGAAACAAAACACAGAGACAAAACAACAGCCAAAACAGAGCUAAACCGGAAUCGGUUUGGCUUACCUUGAAAAUGCUUGAUGGGUAUCUCAAAAUCCGGCUCUCUAGGCGAGGCCACCCACAUUUCAGCCGCAAAAGCUUAGAACGCAGUCUCACAAGGUCGCAGCAGUUAGGUACUCAGGUGGGUUAGAAGUGUCUGAAUUUGAAUCUUGAAUAGUCAUCAUCAACCUACAGCUUUUUGUGGACUUUAGAGAUUUCUGUAGCGUUUUCUGUCACCAUAUGUUUGCUUUGCUGCUUCUGAAG